This 478-nucleotide ribosomal RNA is filed under the name uncultured bacterium. RNAcentral's name for it is "partial 16S ribosomal RNA". It matches the Rfam family "Bacterial small subunit ribosomal RNA", at positions 28 to 523 of the family's 1533-position model. The record is from RNAcentral.
GACGAACGCUGGCGGCGUGCUUAACACAUGCAAGUCGAACGGUAAGGCCCUUCGGGGUACACGAGUGGCGAAGAGGUGAGUAACACGUGGGUGAUCUGACCUUCACUUCGGGAUAAGCCUGGGAAACUGGGUCUAAUACCGGAUAGGACCCAGGGAUGCAUGUCCUGGGGUGGAAAACUUUUGCGGUGUGGGAUUGGCCCGCGGGCUAGCAGCUUGUUGGUGGGGUGAUGGCGUACCAAGGCGACGACGGGUAGCCGGACUGAGAGGGUGACCGGCCACACUGGGACUGAGAUACGGCCCAGACUACUACGGGAUGCAGCAGUGUGGAAUAUUGCACAAUGGGCGCAAGCCGGAUGCAGCGACGCCGCGUGAGGGAUGACGGCCUUCGGGUUGUAAACCUCUUUCAGCACCGACGAAGCGCAAGUGACGGUAGGUGCAGAAGAAGGACCGGCCAACUACGUGCCAGCAGCCGCCGUAA